CACUCCUGCGGGAGGCAGCAGUGGGGAAUAUUGGACAAUGGGCGCAAGCCUGAUCCAGCCAUGCCGCGUGAGUGAUGAAGGCCCUAGGGUUGUAAAGCUCUUUCACCGGUGAAGAUAAUGACGGUAACCGGAGAAGAAGCCCCGGCUAACUUCGUGCCAGCAGCCGCGGUAAUACGAAGGGGGCUAGCGUUGUUCGGAUUUACUGGGCGUAAAGCGCACGUAGGCGGACUAUUAAGUCAGGGGUGAAAUCCCGGGGCUCAACCCCGGAACUGCCUUUGAUACUGGUAGUCUUGAGUUCGAGAGAGGUGAGUGGAAUUCCGAGGGUAGAGGUGAAAUUCGUAGAUAUUCGGGGGAACACCAGUGGCGGAGGCGGCUCACUGGCUCGAUACUGACGGUGAGGUGCGAAAGCGUGGGGAGCAAACAGGAUUAGAUACCCCAGUAGUCCCAUGG
This 450-nucleotide ribosomal RNA is filed under the name uncultured organism. Its description in RNAcentral is "partial 16S ribosomal RNA". It matches the Rfam family "Bacterial small subunit ribosomal RNA", at positions 334 to 800 of the family's 1533-position model. The record is from RNAcentral.